CCAAUAGCGUAUAUUAAAGUUGUUGCAGUUAAAAAGCUCGUAGUUGAAUUUCGGGAUCAAAGGAUCGGUCAUGCCUUGGUAUGUACUGGUUUUAUUGGUUCUCACCUUCUAAAGAACCAUAAUGUCAUUCAUUUGAUGUUAUGGGGAAUUAGGACUGUUACCUUGAAAAAAUUAGAGUGUUUAAAGCAGGCUUACGCUUGAAUACAUUAGCAUGGAAUAAUGAAAUAGGACAUCAGAUUCUAUUUUGUUGGUUUCUAGGAUCGAUGUAAUGAUUAAUAGGGAUAGUUGGGGGCAUUAGUAUUCAAUUGUCAGAGGUGAAAUUCUUGGAUUUAUUGAAGACUAACUACUGCGAAAGCAUUUGCCAAGGAUGUUUUCAUUAAUCAAGAACGAAAGUUAGGGGAUCGAAGACGAUCAGAUACCGUCGUAGUCUUAACCAUAAACUAUGCCGACUAGGGAUCGGAUGAUGUUAAUUUUUUAAUGACUCAUUCGGCGCCUUACG
RNAcentral lists this ribosomal RNA (499 nucleotides) under uncultured Glomeromycotina. RNAcentral describes it as "SSU rRNA". It matches the Rfam family "Eukaryotic small subunit ribosomal RNA", at positions 591 to 1092 of the family's 1831-position model. Lineage: Eukaryota; Fungi; Glomeromycota. The record is from RNAcentral.